Molecule: non-coding RNA, 282 nt
Organism: Anas platyrhynchos (mallard)
Lineage: Eukaryota; Metazoa; Chordata; Aves; Anseriformes; Anatidae
Source: RefSeq, a predicted model, not a curated record
AAAGGAAAAUAUGCAGACACGUACAAAGGAUUUCUGAGAAAUAUAAAAUCUGGAAGUCUCUGUGCAGGGGACCAGGAGUUUUGAGGGGGCAAAGAAAUGAGGACUGGAGCAGUCUUGGUUGUGGUUGGUGACUCAUGGUGACUCAUGAACAAAUAAAGUGUACCUGUGUACCUGUAUGAACUUGCUUCAGUCUCACUUCUCGUGUGAAUAUUCACCUUUACUGAACUGAUGCUGCAGGUCCCACUGAGAAGUAACUACCUGAGUAGUGGAUAAAUCAUCAGG